GCUCUCAAGGAGCGCUGCAGCACCCGCCCGAUACGGGCCGGUGUCAGGCUUGAGUCACAGGCAUCGCACAGAUACCUGCCGGUUUCUCCGGCUUCCAACGGCGCUCACCAGCU
RNAcentral lists this non-coding RNA (113 nucleotides) under Hydrogenophaga crassostreae. Its description in RNAcentral is "SAH (S-adenosyl-L-homocysteine) riboswitch aptamer". It matches the Rfam family "SAH (S-adenosyl-L-homocysteine) riboswitch aptamer". Lineage: Bacteria; Pseudomonadati; Pseudomonadota; Betaproteobacteria; Burkholderiales; Comamonadaceae. The record is from Rfam by way of RNAcentral. RNAcentral also lists the same sequence under 1 other name.